Drosophila miranda is the source of this 2798-nucleotide long non-coding RNA. RefSeq lists it as uncharacterized. The record is from RefSeq and is a predicted model, not a curated record. The transcript has 2 exons. Lineage: Eukaryota; Metazoa; Arthropoda; Insecta; Diptera; Drosophilidae.
CGAACGAGUUGGCAACUAAGCAGAUCGAAUGGCUGUUUAAUUGCCCGCUAAACCCCCAUGCAGGUGGGUGCUGGGAAAGAUUGGUACGAAGUGUGAAGAGGGCCAUAGGACACGCACAGCAUGACAAAAACCUGAAAGAAGACAUACUGUAUAGCCUAAUGUGUAACGCUGAAAACAUAGUAAAUUCCAGACCGCUUACACACAUUGCUCUGGAUAACCCCACAGACGAUCCGAUAACCCCUAAUCACUUUCUUUUAGGUUCUCCCAAUUCUAGCCAGACACCACAUCCACAAGAGGAGAAGUACCAGCCAACUCGAAAGGAAUGGCGCAUCGCUCAGCAGAUCUCACACUCAUUUUGGAACAAGUGGCUCAAUGAGUACCUACCAGACCUAUGCAGACGGACAAAGUGGCAUCACCCAGUGCCACCACUCGCUGAAAUGGACAGUGUUCUUAUCUGUGAUAAGAACCUUCAUCGAUCUCAAUGGAAAAAGGGAGUUAUUCUAGCAGUCACGCCUGGACGCGACGGACAGGUUCGCUCAGCCUUUGUAAAGACGACGGCUGGAGUUCUACACCGCCCAACCUGUAUGCUGGCAAAGCUAGACUAUUGUGAAUCACGAGCGUGCUUGAUUCACGGUGGUGGGGAUGUUGCUGAGAAAAAUUAGCUUAUGUAUACUUAGUUCUAAGCAAGAUACCCUACAUAAAGAAAAAAGAGAGAAGAAAAAUGGUCACGCUAUGAAAAGACAAGAAGGUCACAUUAGUUUGAGCAGUCGAUAAAAGAGCGGGGAGAAAAGACGAAGCGAAAUAAAACGCAACCAACGCCUAAGUACCGAUUAAGAUAAGCGAUUGUGUUUUAUCCGCAAUUCUCACGUUUCUGGACACAAUAUCUUUUAUUUCGCUCCUUGGAAGCCAAUGACCCUAGAGUUCUUAGAGUUUGUGUGAAGACGGGUGGAGACUCGUGGUGCAAGAACUGAAGUAUACUGGACAUUGGAGAAGCGACCGAACCCACAAGGAGACGGUCAUCUCGCUCGUGGGUGGACAAUAAACAUUGAAGAACACGAAGGCCAACGUGGGUGCGCACUACAGGCAGCUGAAAAGCGCACAUAUAUGUGUAUGUAUGCGAGAUCGUGCAAAUACUGGCAUCUCGCUCUUACCAACGAAGUUCUUACGGGCCAGCCUCUAGUUGGCUUCGGUGCGCAGUAAAAAGCCAGAUUAGUCGCGUUAGAGAAUUUCCGAGCAUUCGCGAAGGGAGAUUGGAAAAAUUAGUAGAGUUCGAAAUGAAGGUACAAAACUUGGCUUCAUUCUUAGAAACAGCUAACGCACAUCAGCAGUUAAAAAAUCCAACAUUAAUGGAGGAGUAAGUCUUAAAGUUGCCAGUGCAACAGAGACUGGAGUGGGCCAUUCCAAGCAACUAGGAGAUGAAAAAUCGAUCCGUCAUUUAAGUCUAUGGCUUCAGGGAUUGGCCGAAGAAGUGCAAGACGCAGGAUUGGUUGACGAUCAGGCAACAUUCAAGCCAAAGAAAGAAAAGUCGAGACUAUUCCAUGCAAACGACAUCGGACUUGUAACCAUGAAGGCGUGCUCCGCCUGCAAUGGGAAACACGACUUGGAAAAGUGUAACUCAUUUGCCCAGUUAGAACUUGAGAAAAAAUGGCAGCAUGUCUUUGGAUAGAAAAUGUAUACAUGAUCCAGACUACUACAAAAAAUACUGCGACCUGAUGGAAGCAUACGAACAAAAGUCAUACAUUCGGCAUCUCACAAACAGUGAACUGGAAGUGGACAAGAAAAAAUAAUGGUUCCUGCCUCAUUUUGGGGUCUUAAAUCCUAACAAGCCCGGCAAGUUGAGAAUUGUUUUCGACGCGGCUGCAGAAGUCGAUAAAGUGUCGUUAAACUCCAUGCUCAUGACUGGCCCCGACGGGUAUCAAUCCUUAACGGGCAUUCUUAUGAGGUUCAGAUAGAAACCGAUUGGAGUCUGUGCUGACAUAGCAGAAAUGUUCCACUAAGUCAUAAUACGAAAGGAGGAUCGAUGUGCCCAACGCAUACUAUAGAGGAAGAAUCCAGGCGACGAGAUGAAGGAGUAUGAAAUGCAGGUCAUGACCUUUGGAGCCAAAUGUUCACCGGCCUCUGCUCAAUACGUGAAAAAUAGAAACGCACUUGAAUUUAAGGAAUCGUAUCCAGAUGCGGUGAAUGCCAUUAUUAAAAACCAUUAUGUAGACGAUUUGGUGCAUUGUUUUUCAUCCGAUGAAUCGGCUGUGAGAGUUGUGAAGGAGAUAGUUGACAUUCACAAAAGGAAGGAUUCUAACUGAGAAAGUCCAAUUCGAAAUUCUUCAACAAGGUUUUUGGUAACGAACAAGUAUCUGAGCCCAUAACUCUUGAUAGGGAUGAAUCUUCGCAUUAUCAAAAGGUCCUGGGAAUGUACUGGUGUACACGCAGCGACGAAUUUGGGCUCUCACUUUCGUUUAACAAAAUUGACGCUUCAAUCUUUUCAGAAUCAAGAAUACCGUCUGUUCAAACAUGAACAUAUUAUUGUACACAUUCACUCAUGUAUCCAAAAAAUGGAUCUCUAAAGAAAUCACAUAAAGUAGAUAAGUAAUGACAGUUCGGGUGUAAACAAAGAUAUGUAGCCCAUCUUAAAAUAACACUAAUGUAAGCAUGAACUCAAAUAGACACCCGCAGUAAAAUGUAUCCUUUGCGUAGGUCUAACGAUAAUUAUAGAAUACAAAAUUGUACCUUCUUCUUCAUUGUCAAAUCACAUAUAAGGCUCUGAUUUUAAGAAUAAAAUUUAGUUUGAAUUUAAAACUCAA